Molecule: non-coding RNA, 316 nt
Organism: Pelobates cultripes (western spadefoot toad)
Lineage: Eukaryota; Metazoa; Chordata; Amphibia; Anura; Pelobatidae
Source: the annotation of a GenBank genome assembly
CCUACUACCUUACAAGCAAUGCUGGGUGCCCAGUUAAGGUACUGGUUACGUUCUUGGGCACGCCACCAUACGCACCACUGAACCAUUACUGUCGCUGUACGAUACUGUCCUUACCACAGGUAAGUUCAUGCACUAUGUCCACCUACUCAUUCACCGGGCUCGAACUAAACCCUAGCAACUACUCAGGGCACUCCUUUAGGAUAGGAGCAGCCUCCACGGCCUAUAGCCAAGACAUCCCCGCACACGUUAAGACACAGGGCCGCUGGGAAUCAUAGGCUUAUGCGACUUACAUUCCACAGCCGAUUCAGGAAUUAGG